This 736-nucleotide ribosomal RNA is filed under the name Salmonella enterica subsp. enterica serovar Typhi. RNAcentral's name for it is "partial 23S ribosomal RNA". The record is from RNAcentral. Lineage: Bacteria; Pseudomonadati; Pseudomonadota; Gammaproteobacteria; Enterobacterales; Enterobacteriaceae.
GUUGUAUGGUUAAGUGACUAAGCGUACACGGUGGAUGCCUUGGCAGUCAGAGGCGAUGAAAGACGUAGUAACUUGCGAUAAGCCCAGAUUAGGUAGUAACAACCAUUUGAGUCUGGGAUUUCUGAAUGGGGAAACCCACGUGCAUAAGCACGUAUCCUUACCUGAAUACAUAGGGUAAGGAGGCGAACCGGGGRAACUGAAACAUCUAAGUACCCCGAGGAAAAGAAAUCAACCGAGAUUCCGAAAGUAGCGGCGAGCGAAAUUGGACUAGCCCUUAAGCUUUACACGYGUUAGACGAACGGUCUGGAAAGUCCGACGAUACAGGGUGAUAGUCCCGUAGUUGACGACGUGUGUUCAGUGAAAUCGAGUAGGGCGGGACACGUGAUAUCCUGUCUGAAUAUGGGGGGACCAUCCUCCAAGGCUAAAUACUACUGACUGACCGAUAGUGAACCAGUACCGUGAGGGAAAGGCGAAAAGAACCCCUGUGAGGGGAGUGAAAUAGAACCUGAAACCGUGUACGUACAAGCAGUAGGAGCAGGCUUUGUCCUGUGACUGCGUACCUUUUGUAUAAUGGGUCAGCGACUUAUAUUCAGUGGCAAGGUUAACCAUCUAGGGGAGCCGUAGGGAAACCGAGUCUUAACUGGGCGUUCAGUCUCUGGAUAUAGACCCGAAACCAGGUGAUCUAGCCAUGGGCAGGUUGAAGGUUGAGUAACAUCAACUGGAGGACCGAACCGAC